This 446-nucleotide ribosomal RNA is filed under the name Escherichia coli. RNAcentral describes it as "partial 23S ribosomal RNA". It matches the Rfam family "Bacterial large subunit ribosomal RNA", at positions 2259 to 2704 of the family's 2925-position model. The record is from RNAcentral. Lineage: Bacteria; Pseudomonadati; Pseudomonadota; Gammaproteobacteria; Enterobacterales; Enterobacteriaceae. RNAcentral also lists the same sequence under 1 other name.
UGGUGGGUAGUUUGACUGGGGCGGUCUCCUCCUAAAGAGUAACGGAGGAGCACGAAGGUUGGCUAAUCCUGGUCGGACAUCAGGAGGUUAGUGCAAUGGCAUAAGCCAGCUUGACUGCGAGCGUGACGGCGCGAGCAGGUGCGAAAGCAGGUCAUAGUGAUCCGGUGGUUCUGAAUGGAAGGGCCAUCGCUCAACGGAUAAAAGGUACUCCGGGGAUAACAGGCUGAUACCGCCCAAGAGUUCAUAUCGACGGCGGUGUUUGGCACCUCGAUGUCGGCUCAUCACAUCCUGGGGCUGAAGUAGGUCCCAAGGGUAUGGCUGUUCGCCAUUUAAAGUGGUACGCGAGCUGGGUUUAGAACGUCGUGAGACAGUUCGGUCCCUAUCUGCCGUGGGCGCUGGAGAACUGAGGGGGGCUGCUCCUAGUACGAGAGGACCGGAGUGGACGC